Molecule: ribosomal RNA, 2815 nt
Filed under: Staphylococcus aureus
Lineage: Bacteria; Bacillati; Bacillota; Bacilli; Caryophanales; Staphylococcaceae
Description: bacterial LSU rRNA
Rfam family: Bacterial large subunit ribosomal RNA
Source: RNAcentral
AGGGCGCACGGUGGAUGCCUUGGCACUAGAAGCCAAUGAAGGACGUUACUAACGACGAUAUGCUUUGGGGAGCUGUAAGUAAGCUUUGAUCCAGAGAUUUCCGAAUGGGGAAACCCAGCAUGAGUUAUGUCAUGUUAUCGAUAUGUGAAUACAUAGCAUAUCAGAAGGCACACCCGGAGAACUGAAACAUCUUAGUACCCGGAGGAAGAGAAAGAAAAUUCGAUUCCCUUAGUAGCGGCGAGCGAAACGGGAAGAGCCCAAACCAACAAGCUUGCUUGUUGGGGUUGUAGGACACUCUAUACGGAGUUACAAAGGACGACAUUAGACGAAUCAUCUGGAAAGAUGAAUCAAAGAAGGUAAUAAUCCUGUAGUCGAAAAUGUUGUCUCUCUUGAGUGGAUCCUGAGUACGACGGAGCACGUGAAAUUCCGUCGGAAUCUGGGAGGACCAUCUCCUAAGGCUAAAUACUCUCUAGUGACCGAUAGUGAACCAGUACCGUGAGGGAAAGGUGAAAAGCACCCCGGAAGGGGAGUGAAAUAGAACCUGAAACCGUGUGCUUACAAGUAGUCAGAGCCCGUUAAUGGGUGAUGGCGUGCCUUUUGUAGAAUGAACCGGCGAGUUACGAUUUGAUGCAAGGUUAAGCAGUAAAUGUGGAGCCGUAGCGAAAGCGAGUCUGAAUAGGGCGUUUAGUAUUUGGUCGUAGACCCGAAACCAGGUGAUCUACCCUUGGUCAGGUUGAAGUUCAGGUAACACUGAAUGGAGGACCGAACCGACUUACGUUGAAAAGUGAGCGGAUGAACUGAGGGUAGCGGAGAAAUUCCAAUCGAACCUGGAGAUAGCUGGUUCUCUCCGAAAUAGCUUUAGGGCUAGCCUCAAGUGAUGAUUAUUGGAGGUAGAGCACUGUUUGGACGAGGGGCCCCUCUCGGGUUACCGAAUUCAGACAAACUCCGAAUGCCAAUUAAUUUAACUUGGGAGUCAGAACAUGGGUGAUAAGGUCCGUGUUCGAAAGGGAAACAGCCCAGACCACCAGCUAAGGUCCCAAAAUAUAUGUUAAGUGGAAAAGGAUGUGGCGUUGCCCAGACAACUAGGAUGUUGGCUUAGAAGCAGCCAUCAUUUAAAGAGUGCGUAAUAGCUCACUAGUCGAGUGACACUGCGCCGAAAAUGUACCGGGGCUAAACAUAUUACCGAAGCUGUGGAUUGUCCUUUGGACAAUGGUAGGAGAGCGUUCUAAGGGCGUUGAAGCAUGAUCGUAAGGACAUGUGGAGCGCUUAGAAGUGAGAAUGCCGGUGUGAGUAGCGAAAGACGGGUGAGAAUCCCGUCCACCGAUUGACUAAGGUUUCCAGAGGAAGGCUCGUCCGCUCUGGGUUAGUCGGGUCCUAAGCUGAGGCCGACAGGCGUAGGCGAUGGAUAACAGGUUGAUAUUCCUGUACCACCUAUAAUCGUUUUAAUCGAUGGGGGGACGCAGUAGGAUAGGCGAAGCGUGCGAUUGGAUUGCACGUCUAAGCAGUAAGGCUGAGUAUUAGGCAAAUCCGGUACUCGUUAAGGCUGAGCUGUGAUGGGGAGAAGACAUUGUGUCUUCGAGUCGUUGAUUUCACACUGCCGAGAAAAGCCUCUAGAUAGAAAAUAGGUGCCCGUACCGCAAACCGACACAGGUAGUCAAGAUGAGAAUUCUAAGGUGAGCGAGCGAACUCUCGUUAAGGAACUCGGCAAAAUGACCCCGUAACUUCGGGAGAAGGGGUGCUCUUUAGGGUUAACGCCCAGAAGAGCCGCAGUGAAUAGGCCCAAGCGACUGUUUAUCAAAAACACAGGUCUCUGCUAAACCGUAAGGUGAUGUAUAGGGGCUGACGCCUGCCCGGUGCUGGAAGGUUAAGAGGAGUGGUUAGCUUCUGCGAAGCUACGAAUCGAAGCCCCAGUAAACGGCGGCCGUAACUAUAACGGUCCUAAGGUAGCGAAAUUCCUUGUCGGGUAAGUUCCGACCCGCACGAAAGGCGUAACGAUUUGGGCACUGUCUCAACGAGAGACUCGGUGAAAUCAUAGUACCUGUGAAGAUGCAGGUUACCCGCGACAGGACGGAAAGACCCCGUGGAGCUUUACUGUAGCCUGAUAUUGAAAUUCGGCACAGCUUGUACAGGAUAGGUAGGAGCCUUUGAAACGUGAGCGCUAGCUUACGUGGAGGCGCUGGUGGGAUACUACCCUAGCUGUGUUGGCUUUCUAACCCGCACCACUUAUCGUGGUGGGAGACAGUGUCAGGCGGGCAGUUUGACUGGGGCGGUCGCCUCCUAAAAGGUAACGGAGGCGCUCAAAGGUUCCCUCAGAAUGGUUGGAAAUCAUUCAUAGAGUGUAAAGGCAUAAGGGAGCUUGACUGCGAGACCUACAAGUCGAGCAGGGUCGAAAGACGGACUUAGUGAUCCGGUGGUUCCGCAUGGAAGGGCCAUCGCUCAACGGAUAAAAGCUACCCCGGGGAUAACAGGCUUAUCUCCCCCAAGAGUUCACAUCGACGGGGAGGUUUGGCACCUCGAUGUCGGCUCAUCGCAUCCUGGGGCUGUAGUCGGUCCCAAGGGUUGGGCUGUUCGCCCAUUAAAGCGGUACGCGAGCUGGGUUCAGAACGUCGUGAGACAGUUCGGUCCCUAUCCGUCGUGGGCGUAGGAAAUUUGAGAGGAGCUGUCCUUAGUACGAGAGGACCGGGAUGGACAUACCUCUGGUGUACCAGUUGUCGUGCCAACGGCAUAGCUGGGUAGCUAUGUGUGGACGGGAUAAGUGCUGAAAGCAUCUAAGCAUGAAGCCCCCCUCAAGAUGAGAUUUCCCAACUUCGGUUAU